UACGGAGGUGGCAAGCGUUGCUCGGAAUCACUGGGCGUAAAGGGCGCGUAGGCGGGGAGGUAAGUCGGGUGUGAAAUCCCUCGGCCCAACCGAGGAACUGCGCCCGAGACUGCUUCUCUUGAGUCCCGGAGAGGAAGAUGGAAUUCCCGGUGUAGCGGUGAAAUGUGUAGAGAUCGGGAGGAACACCGGUGGCGAAGGCGGUCUUCUGGACGGUGACUGACACUGAGGCGCGAAAGCGUGGGGAGCAAACGGG
Molecule: ribosomal RNA, 253 nt
Filed under: uncultured bacterium
Lineage: Bacteria
Description: partial 16S ribosomal RNA
Rfam family: Bacterial small subunit ribosomal RNA
Source: RNAcentral